RNAcentral lists this ribosomal RNA (301 nucleotides) under uncultured bacterium. RNAcentral describes it as "partial 16S ribosomal RNA". It matches the Rfam family "Bacterial small subunit ribosomal RNA", at positions 509 to 809 of the family's 1533-position model. The record is from RNAcentral.
CAGUCGCCGCGGGAAUACGAAGGGUGCAAGCGUUAAUCGGAAUUACUGGGCGUAAAGCGUGCGUAGGCGGUUUGUUAAGUCUGCUGUGAAAUCCCCGGGCUCAACCUGGGAAUGGCAGUGGAUACUGGCAAGCUAGAGUGUGUCAGAGGAUGGUGGAAUUCCCGGUGUAGCGGUGAAAUGCGUAGAGAUCGGGAGGAACAUCAGUGGCGAAGGCGGCCAUCUGGGACAACACUGACGCUGAGGCACGAAAGCGUGGGGAGCAAACAGGAUUAGAUACCCCGGUAGUCCCUGUCUCUUAUAA